CAGCCGCCGCGGUAAUACGUAGGGUGCGAGCGUUAUCCGGAAUUAUUGGGCGUAAAGAGCUCGUAGGCGGUUUGUCACGUCUGUCGUGAAAGUCCGGGGCUUAACCCCGGAUCUGCGGUGGGUACGGGCAGACUAGAGUGCAGUAGGGGAGACUGGAAUUCCUGGUGUAGCGGUGGAAUGCGCAGAUAUCAGGAGGAACACCGAUGGCGAAGGCAGGUCUCUGGGCUGUAGCUGACGCUGAGGAGCGAAAGCAUGGGGAGCGAACAGGAUUAGAUACCCUGGUAGUCCAUGCCGUAAACGUUGGGCACUAGGUGUGGGGACCAUUCCACGGUUUCCGCGCCGCAGCUAACGCAUUAAGUGCCCCGCCUGGGGAGUACGGCCGCAAGGCUAAAACUCAAAGGAAUUGACGG
This 410-nucleotide ribosomal RNA is filed under the name actinobacterium enrichment culture clone LiUU-16-324. RNAcentral's name for it is "bacterial SSU rRNA". It matches the Rfam family "Bacterial small subunit ribosomal RNA", at positions 509 to 916 of the family's 1533-position model. Lineage: Bacteria; Bacillati; Actinomycetota; Actinomycetes. The record is from RNAcentral.